UGGUGUGUGGGAAUCUAACUUGGCUCCUACAACCAGACUAGGCCAAAGCCCAAGUGCAAAGUGGUGUGACCUAUCAGAAAUUGGGGGUGCAUAAGCAAAAAUGUUUUUUUUUAUUAUUAUUAUUUUUUGUUGGGCCUGGCACCCAAGCCCAUAGCUCAUGACCUAGAAGCUCUAAUUGGGUUCGAAUUUCCUCCCCUCAUUCUUCACUCCAAGGCUCGAAGCAAAUCAGAGAAUCAGUCUCUCUCUCGCACUCGCUCACGGUUGGGGGUUUUGCCUCCCUAGAACGCCUCAUGCCGCCGCUCCGGCAGCCACUGCUUUUCUGUCGUGCCGUCAUGAGCCACCGUUAGACCCGACAACGUCGCGCCCCUAGCCACUCUCUCACCACCACCGAAGAGGUUACGCAGCCGCCAGUAUCACACGAAACCUCUUUCUUCCUCCUUGAAUUCGAACCCGCCGCUGCAGUCAGAGAAUCUGGGUGUUGUCGCCGUCUCCGUCUAACAGCCACCGCGUCGCUCACGCUUUCAGUCUCGUCGUCGCCGGCGACGGCAGAUGCCACCAGAAUCAAGGUCGGCGUCACCGCACCGCCACAUUCCUUCUCCUUUUCCGUCUCUCGCCUGAGAGGAAACCGCCUCCAUUCGCUUCCCAGGCAGUUACCGUUUCUCCUUCUGUUUCUCUCUACUUGCUUCUUGCCUAACGAUUCGGCUUUUGUGUUGGUUGGUAAACAGAGAUGAACAGGGGCAUGUUUUGGCUUUGAUUGUGUUGAGAACGAUAGUAUUAAGGGAAAUAUUCAUGGGAUGAAGGCUCUAAAGGUAAAUGGAGUGGUUCGAAUGAGUAGUGGAUGAAGGGGUGGUGGUGACCGCCGGUUGAGGUGAUGUGUGUGAGGUACAGGCGAGCGACAUAAAAAUUGCAGUGGCCGAGAGGAACAAGAUGAAGAUGGUGGUGAUUGUACCAUAAACAACUCAAAUGCAUUUGGGUUAAUUUUUCUUUGCAGAUGAGAGGGAUCAAGGUUUUGAAGAUAUGAUUCCCUUAGUGUUUUCUGAGUGUAUGGUGAAGAGAUGAAUAUGGCUAUUGGGUGCUGUGAAAAAUCAGAAAGCUCAUGCUCGGUAACUUUGAAGCAGAGAAAUAGAAAAGAAAACCUUAUGGUUUCGGGCAAGGCAUGCUCAAGGAAAGGAUGAAGAUAUAACCAUAAUAGAGAUAUAGAACAGCUAACGCGAUCAUAUUGAAUAAUGCUACUAAUACACAGACAUUGCAAUCACUCAAAAUCACACAGAUUAGUUACACUGGGAUAGAAACUCACCUCGGAGAAUUGAUGUUUUGCUUGUUUUUCUUGCUUCCUACGAUUGCUGAUUUGAAUGACUUCUUAUGUUCCUGAAGAUCAAAGGUGGCUACUGCCACCGUGGGUGAUUGAAGACGAAGGCACAGAUGAUGAUCGAAGGUGAUCUCCAGAGACGUCUCUGCCUUUUUUGACCUCUUUUUCUCAAAAACCCUUGACCCUCUUCUCUGCUUCCUCUUCCCUCGGUGCAGGUCCAACUUUCCAAAAUGAAGCUUGCUCUCAAGUCCUUGAUUCUUGAUGUCGUGAGUGAUGCCUUUCUACUUCGUUCUCUUUGUAAAUGAGUGAUGAUAAAAAAAGCAACCAUCUGUGCCCUCCCGUCUGCUUAGGUUGUUCUCCCCUUUUUUUCGUUAUUGCUUUUUUCCUGCAAAUUUCCCUUGCCAAUUGCCA
Vigna radiata var. radiata (mung bean) is the source of this 1720-nucleotide long non-coding RNA. RefSeq lists it as uncharacterized. Lineage: Eukaryota; Viridiplantae; Streptophyta; Magnoliopsida; Fabales; Fabaceae. The record is from RefSeq and is a predicted model, not a curated record. The transcript is spliced from 2 exons.